CGCUAUCAGAUGAGCCUAGGUCGGAUUAGCUAGUUGGUGAGGUAAUGGCUCACCAAGGCUACGAUCCGUAACUGGUCUGAGAGGAUGAUCAGUCACACUGGAACUGAGACACGGUCCAGACUCCUACGGGAGGCAGCAGUGGGGAAUAUUGGACAAUGGGCGAAAGCCUGAUCCAAACAGUGCCGCGUGUGUGAAGAAGGUCUUCGGAUGUAAAUCAAUUGAAGUUGGGAGGAAGGGCAUUAACCUAAUACGUUA
Molecule: ribosomal RNA, 255 nt
Filed under: uncultured bacterium
Lineage: Bacteria
Description: partial 16S ribosomal RNA
Rfam family: Bacterial small subunit ribosomal RNA
Source: RNAcentral